RNAcentral lists this transfer RNA (79 nucleotides) under Pantoea agglomerans. RNAcentral describes it as "tRNA-Val". Lineage: Bacteria; Pseudomonadati; Pseudomonadota; Gammaproteobacteria; Enterobacterales; Erwiniaceae. The record is from RNAcentral.
GCGCUCUUAGCUCAGUUGGUUAGAGCACCACCUUGACAUGGUGGGGGUCGAUCUCUUAGCUCAGUUGGUUAGAGCACCA